Molecule: ribosomal RNA, 576 nt
Filed under: Lodderomyces parapsilosis
Lineage: Eukaryota; Fungi; Ascomycota; Pichiomycetes; Serinales; Debaryomycetaceae
Description: Candida parapsilosis partial large subunit ribosomal RNA
Rfam family: Eukaryotic large subunit ribosomal RNA
Source: RNAcentral
AAAAGAAACCAACGGAUUGCCUUAGUAGCGGCGAGUGAAGCGGCAAAAGCUCAAAUUUGAAAUCUGGCACUUUCAGUGUCCGAGUUGUAAUUUGAAGAAGGUAUCUUUGGGUCUGGCUCUUGUCUAUGUUUCUUGGAACAGAACGUCACAGAGGGUGAGAAUCCCGUGCGAUGAGAUGUCCCAGACCUAUGUAAAGUUCCUUCGAAGAGUCGAGUUGUUUGGGAAUGCAGCUCUAAGUGGGUGGUAAAUUCCAUCUAAAGCUAAAUAUUGGCGAGAGACCGAUAGCGAACAAGUACAGUGAUGGAAAGAUGAAAAGAACUUUGAAAAGAGAGUGAAAAAGUACGUGAAAUUGUUGAAAGGGAAGGGCUUGAGAUCAGACUUGGUAUUUUGUAUGUUACUCUCUCGGGGGUGGCCUCUACAGUUUACCGGGCCAGCAUCAGUUUGAGCGGUAGGAUAAGUGCAAAGAAAUGUGGCACUGCUUCGGUAGUGUGUUAUAGUCUUUGUCGAUACUGCCAGCUUAGACUGAGGACUGCGGCUUCGGCCUAGGAUGUUGGCAUAAUGAUCUUAAGUCGCCCG